RNAcentral lists this ribosomal RNA (1488 nucleotides) under uncultured Bacteroidota bacterium. Its description in RNAcentral is "bacterial SSU rRNA". It matches the Rfam family "Bacterial small subunit ribosomal RNA". Lineage: Bacteria; Pseudomonadati; Bacteroidota. The record is from RNAcentral.
AGAGUUUGAUCCUGGCUCAGGAUGAACGCUAGCGGCAGGCCUAACACAUGCAAGUCGAGGGGUAGGGGGCGCUUGCGCCCCCGAGACCGGUAGAUGGGUGAGUAGCGUGUAUGCAAUCUGCCCUCUACAGGGGAAUAGCCCAGGGAAACUUGGAUUAAUGCCCCAUGGCAUCACGGAGCGGCAUUGUUCUGUGAUUAAAGAUUUAUCGGUAGAGGAUGAGCAUGUGUUUUAUUAGCUAGUUGGUGCGGUAACGGCGUAUCAAGGCCGCGAUGGGUAGGGGUUUUGAGAGGGGGAUCCCCCACACUGGUACUGAGACACGGACCAGACUCCUACGGGAGGCAGCAGUGAGGAAUAUUGGACAAUGGGCGAGAGCCUGAUCCAGCCAUGCCGCGUGCAGGAAGACCGCCCUAUGGGUCGUAAACUGCUUUUGUACGGGAAGAAACACCCCCUCGUGAGGGGGCUUGACGGUACCGUACGAAUAAGGACCGGCUAACUCCGUGCCAGCAGCCGCGGUAAUACGGAGGGUCCGAGCGUUAUCCGGAAUCAUUGGGUUUAAAGGGUCCGUAGGCGGGCGUCUAAGUUAGUGGUGAAAUCUCGCGGCUUAAUUGUGAAAUUGUUAUUGAUACUGGUCGUCUUGAAUGGUUGUGAAGUGGCUAGAAUAUGUGGUGUAGCGGUGAAAUGCUUAGAUAUCACAUAGAAUACCGAUUGCGAAGGCAGGUCAUUAAUAACGCAUUGACGCUGAUGGACGAAAGCGUGGGGAGCGAACAGGAUUAGAUACCCUGGUAGUCCACGCCGUAAACGAUGGAUACUAGCUGUCCGGGGUACAUUGGUGUCCUGGGUGGCCCAGCGAAAGUGAUAAGUAUCCCACCUGGGGAGUACGUUCGCAAGAAUGAAACUCAAAGGAAUUGACGGGGGCCCGCACAAGCGGUGGAGCAUGUGGUUUAAUUCGAUGAUACGCGAGGAACCUUAUCAGGGCUUAAAUGCAGUUCGAUAACCCCCGAAAGGGGGCCUUCUUCGGACGGACUGCGAGGUGCUGUAUGGUUGUCGUCAGCUCGUGCCGUGAGGUGUCAGGUUAAGUCCUAUAACGAGCGCAACCCCUGUCGUUAGUUGCCAGCAUGUAAAGAUGGGAACUCUAGCGAGACUGCCGGUGCAAACCGCGAGGAAGGUGGGGAUGAUGUCAAAUCAUCACGGCCCUUACGUCCUGAGCCACACACGUGCUACAAUGGUAGGCACAAUGGGCAGCCACCCCGCAAGGGGGAGCGAAUCCACAAAACCUGUCUCAGUUCGGAUCGGGGUCUGCAACUCGACCCCGUGAAGCUGGAAUCGUUAGUAAUCGGAUAUCAGCCAUGAUCCGGUGAAUACGUUCCCGGGCCUUGUACACACCGCCCGUCAAGCCAUGGAAGCCGGAAGCACCUGAAGUCCGUCAUCGCAAGGAGCGGCCUAGGGUGAAGCUGGUAACUGGGGCUAAGUCGUAACAAGGUAGCCGUA